This 497-nucleotide ribosomal RNA is filed under the name uncultured bacterium. Its description in RNAcentral is "partial 16S ribosomal RNA". It matches the Rfam family "Bacterial small subunit ribosomal RNA", at positions 28 to 507 of the family's 1533-position model. The record is from RNAcentral.
GAUGAACGCUGGCGGCGUGCCUAAUACAUGCAAGUCGAGCGAACAGACGAGGAGCUUGCUCCUCUGACGUUAGCGGCGGACGGGUGAGUAACACGUGGAUAACCUACCUAUAAGACUUGGAUAACUUCGGGAAACCGUAGCUAAUACCGGAUAAUAUAUUUAACCGCAUGGUUCAAUAGUGAAAGACGGGUUUGCUGUCACUUAUAGAUGGAUCCGCGCCGCAUUAGCUAGUUGGUAAGGUAACGGCUUACCAAGGCAACGAUGCGUAGCCGACCUGAGAGCGUGAACGGCCCCACUGGAACUGAGAGACGGUCCAGACUCCUACGGGAGGCAGCAGUAGGGAAUCUUCCGAAAUGGGCGAAAGCCUGACGGAGCAACGCCGCGUGAGUGAUGAAGGUCUUCGGAUCGUAAAACUCUGUUAGUAGGGAAGAACAAAUGUGUAAGUAACUAUGCACGUCUUGACGGUACCUAAUCAGAAAGCCACGGCUAACUACGUG